UACAGAGGGUGCGAGCGUUAAUCGGAAUUACUGGGCGUAAAGGGUGCGUAGGUGGUUAUAUAAGUUAGGUGUGAAAGUCCCGGGCUUAACCUGGGGAUUGCGCCUGAUACUGUGUAGCUAGAGUGCUGUAGAGGGAAGUGGAAUUUCCGGUGUAGCGGUGAAAUGCGUAGAUAUCGGAAGGAACAUCGGUGGCGAAGGCGACUUUCUGGACAGACACUGACACUGAGGCACGAAAGCAUGGGGAGCAAACAGG
This 253-nucleotide ribosomal RNA is filed under the name uncultured bacterium. RNAcentral's name for it is "partial 16S ribosomal RNA". It matches the Rfam family "Bacterial small subunit ribosomal RNA", at positions 524 to 776 of the family's 1533-position model. The record is from RNAcentral.